Molecule: ribosomal RNA, 275 nt
Filed under: uncultured bacterium
Lineage: Bacteria
Description: partial 16S ribosomal RNA
Rfam family: Bacterial small subunit ribosomal RNA
Source: RNAcentral
CCUACGGGGGGCAGCAGUAGGGAAUAUUGCGCAAUGGGGGAAACCCUGACGCAGCGACGCCGCGUGAGUGAUGAAGGCCUUCGGGUCGUAAAGCUCUGUUGUACGGGAAGAAAAAAAUGACGGUACCGUACGAGAAAGGACCGGCUAACUUCGUGCCAGCAGCCGCGGUAAUACGAGGGGUCCUAGCGUUGUUCGGAAUUAUUGGGCGUAAAGAGCAUGUAGGUUGCCACUUAAGUCAGGUGUGAAAGCCCCGGGCUCAACCCGGGAAGUGCAUU